GCGCUCGUAGCUCAGCUGGAUAGAGCAACGGCCUUCUAAGCCGUAGGUCAUAGGUUCGAGUCCUAUCGGGCGCA
RNAcentral lists this transfer RNA (74 nucleotides) under Pelobacter propionicus DSM 2379. It matches the Rfam family "tRNA". From Rfam's summary of the family: Transfer RNA (tRNA) molecules are approximately 80 nucleotides in length. The record is from Rfam by way of RNAcentral. Lineage: Bacteria; Pseudomonadati; Thermodesulfobacteriota; Desulfuromonadia; Desulfuromonadales; Desulfuromonadaceae.